This 497-nucleotide ribosomal RNA is filed under the name uncultured bacterium. Its description in RNAcentral is "partial 16S ribosomal RNA". It matches the Rfam family "Bacterial small subunit ribosomal RNA", at positions 28 to 507 of the family's 1533-position model. The record is from RNAcentral.
GAUGAACGCUGGCGGCGUGCCUAAUACAUGCAAGUCGAGCGAACAGACGAGGAGCUUGCUCCUCUGACGUUAGCGGCGGACGGGUGAGUAACACGUGGAUAACCUACCUAUAAGACUGGGAUAACUUCGGGAAACCGGAGCUAAUACCGGAUAAUAUAUUGAACCGCAUGGUUCAAUAGUGAAAGACGGUUUUGCUGUCACUUAUAGAUGGAUCCGCGCCGCAUUAGCUAGUUGGUAAGGUAACGGCUUACCAAGGCAACGAUGCGUAGCCGACCUGAGAGGGUGAUCGGCCACACUGGAACUGGGACACGGUCCAGCCUCCUACGGGAGGCAGCAGUAGGGAAUCUUCCGCAAUGGGCGAAAGCUUGACGGAGCAACGCCGCGUGAGUGAGGAAGGUCUUCGGAUCGUAAAACUCUGUUAUUAGGGAAGAACAAAUGUGUAAGUAACUAUGCACGUCUUGACGGUACCUAAUCAGAAAGCCACGGCUAACUACGUG